GAUCCUUGAAGUGAUGGAGUCUGUAUUCAAGGUUUGAUUAAAUCUAGUGGAGCUAUUGGAAAUCCUACUGGGGUAGGGUAUGGGUUUUCUUCCUUGAUCAAGGAGUUUCCACAUAAAACUUGUUGUGUACUUGUUUAUUUACUUUGCAAGUUUGUUUCUUGAGUUUUCUGAUUUGCAUAUGUUAGUUAAGACCAGGUCCCA
This 201-nucleotide long non-coding RNA is filed under the name Capsicum annuum. RNAcentral's name for it is "long non-coding RNA (CANN_LNC007260)". Lineage: Eukaryota; Viridiplantae; Streptophyta; Magnoliopsida; Solanales; Solanaceae. The record is from RNAcentral.